UCCAGGGUAACCUAGUGGACAUGGCAUCUGCCCGGUAAGCGGAACACUGUGGGUUCGAUCCAUCCCUGGAC
This 71-nucleotide transfer RNA is filed under the name Cordylochernes scorpioides. RNAcentral describes it as "tRNA-Thr". It matches the Rfam family "tRNA". From Rfam's summary of the family: Transfer RNA (tRNA) molecules are approximately 80 nucleotides in length. Their secondary structure includes four short double-helical elements and three loops (D, anti-codon, and T loops). Lineage: Eukaryota; Metazoa; Arthropoda; Arachnida; Pseudoscorpiones; Chernetidae. The record is from RNAcentral.